UAGUAUAAAGAUUUAGCAUCAAUGUUGCA
RNAcentral lists this non-coding RNA (29 nucleotides) under Mus musculus (house mouse). Lineage: Eukaryota; Metazoa; Chordata; Mammalia; Rodentia; Muridae. The record is from RNAcentral.